This 1157-nucleotide ribosomal RNA is filed under the name Escherichia coli. RNAcentral's name for it is "partial 23S ribosomal RNA". It matches the Rfam family "Bacterial large subunit ribosomal RNA", at positions 1 to 1191 of the family's 2925-position model. The record is from RNAcentral. Lineage: Bacteria; Pseudomonadati; Pseudomonadota; Gammaproteobacteria; Enterobacterales; Enterobacteriaceae.
GGGUUGUGAGGUUAAGCGACUAAGCGUACACGGUGGAUGCCCUGGCAGUCAGAGGCGAUGAAGGACGUGCUAAUCUGCGAUAAGCGUCGGUGAGGUGAUAUGAACCGUUAUAACCGGCGAUUUCCGAAUGGGGAAACCCAGUGUGUUUCGACACUCUAUCAUUAACUGAAUCCAUAGGUUAAUGAGGCGAACCGGGGGAACUGAAACAUCUAAGUACCCCGAGGAAAAGAAAUCAACCGAGAUUCCCCCAGUAGCGGCGAGCGAACGGGGAGCAGCCCAGAGCCUGAAUCAGUGUGUGUGUUAGUGGAAGCGUCUGGAAAGGCGCGCGAUACAGGGUGACAGCCCCGUACACAAAAAUGCACAUGCUGUGAGCUCGAUGAGUAGGGCGGGACACGUGGUAUCCUGUCUGAAUAUGGGGGGACCAUCCUCCAAGGCUAAAUACUCCUGACUGACCGAUAGUGAACCAGUACCGUGAGGGAAAGGCGAAAAGAACCCCGGCGAGGGGAGUGAAAAAGAACCUGAAACCGUGUACGUACAAGCAGUGGGAGCCUCUUUAUGGGGUGACUGCGUACCUUUUGUAUAAUGGGUCAGCGACUUAUAUUCUGUAGCAAGGUUAACCGAAUAGGGGAGCCGAAGGGAAACCGAGUCUUAACUGGGCGUUAAGUUGCAGGGUAUAGACCCGAAACCCGGUGAUCUAGCCAUGGGCAGGUUGAAGGUUGGGUAACACUAACUGGAGGACCGAACCGACUAAUGUUGAAAAAUUAGCGGAUGACUUGUGGCUGGGGGUGAAAGGCCAAUCAAACCGGGAGAUAGCUGGUUCUCCCCGAAAGCUAUUUAGGUAGCGCCUCGUGAAUUCAUCUCCGGGGGUAGAGCACUGUUUCGGCAAGGGGGUCAUCCCGACUUACCAACCCGAUGCAAACUGCGAAUACCGGAGAAUGUUAUCACGGGAGACACACGGCGGGUGCUAACGUCCGUCGUGAAGAGGGAAACAACCCAGACCGCCAGCUAAGGUCCCAAAGUCAUGGUUAAGUGGGAAACGAUGUGGGAAGGCCCAGACAGCCAGGAUGUUGGCUUAGAAGCAGCCAUCAUUUAAAGAAAGCGUAAUAGCUCACUGGUCGAGUCGGCCUGCGCGGAAGAUGUAACGGGGCUAAACCAUG